AGAUGCUCAUUUGAGCAAGCAA
Molecule: microRNA, 22 nt
Filed under: Arabidopsis lyrata
Lineage: Eukaryota; Viridiplantae; Streptophyta; Magnoliopsida; Brassicales; Brassicaceae
Also listed under: 3 other names
Description: aly-miR828-3p
Gene: aly-miR828-3p
Source: miRBase by way of RNAcentral